Vicia faba (fava bean) is the source of this 207-nucleotide non-coding RNA. The record is from the annotation of a GenBank genome assembly. Lineage: Eukaryota; Viridiplantae; Streptophyta; Magnoliopsida; Fabales; Fabaceae.
AUGGAUGCAAUGCAAAUAGGUCUACCAGUUUUGGGCAUUGUUGCAGCUGCAGUUGUGACCUUCUAUGCAGUGAGUUUCAAUGAGAUUAGAGAGAAAUCACUUCCAGAUUGGGAUGAAUCUGAAUCAGAAAAUGGAGCUUUUAGACGACCAUUCAGUUCCCGAAAGAGGCGAGCUAAGAGACAAGCUAGUAAAAAUAAAAAAACCUAA